Molecule: ribosomal RNA, 504 nt
Filed under: uncultured bacterium
Lineage: Bacteria
Description: partial 16S ribosomal RNA
Rfam family: Bacterial small subunit ribosomal RNA
Source: RNAcentral
AUUGAACGCUGGCGGCAUGCCUUACACAUGCAAGUCGAACGGCAGCAUGGAGAGCUUGCUCUCUGAUGGCGAGUGGCGAACGGGUGAGUAAUGCAUCGGAACGUACCGUGUAAUGGGGGAUAACGUAGCGAAAGUUACGCUAAUACCGCAUACAACCUGAGGGUGAAAGCAGGGGAUCGCAAGACCUUGCGUUAUACGAGCGGCCGAUGUCAGAUUAGCUAGUUGGUGAGGUAAAGGCUCACCAAGGCGACGAUCUGUAGCGGGUCUGAGAGGAUAAUCCGCCACACUGGGACUGAGACACGGCCCAGACACCUACGGGAGGCAGCAGUGGGGAAUUUUGGACAAUGGGGGCAACCCUGAUCCAGCCAUGCCGCGUGAGUGAAGAAGGCCUUCGGGUUGUAAAGCUCUUUCGGCCGGGAAGAAAUCGCACAGGCUAAUACUCUGUGUGGAUGACGGUACCGGCAUAAGAAGCACCGGCUAACUACGUGCCAGCCGCCGCCGUAA